Molecule: long non-coding RNA, 771 nt
Organism: Melozone crissalis (California towhee)
Lineage: Eukaryota; Metazoa; Chordata; Aves; Passeriformes; Passerellidae
Exons: 2
Source: RefSeq, a predicted model, not a curated record
GCGAAGGGACAGACGCUGAGUGAAGUGGCCGAGCCCCGCGGCCCCGGGGGGCGGCAGCGCAGCACUCCCCUUACCCCUCCCCGAGCACCCCCUUACCUUGCCUGGGGUGCAGCUUCUGCCUCCUCGCUGCCGUCCUCCAGCCGUCGAUGAAGAGCGUGGCAGCUUGAAGAAGUGGACCAGCAGUUGAAGAAUCCCGUGUGGCACAUCUCAUAGCAGUUGUUUUCUUAUGCAUUUCCUUGCCUCAGAUAAGAGGCAAUUCAAGCAACUUUUGUUCAGGAUGAGAUUUGUGUUGUGCACUUUUCAGGCACCCUGAGGGAAAAGGAAGAUUAUAUCCAAAUCCGAGUUUAUUUUGUUUUGUUUUACAGUUUGAAAGGUCUCUAAAAAUUUAAGAUAUGCUUUAGAGCUACAUAUAAUUGUGUUGUCUUCUACCCCUUCCUCAAAUCAAAACCCCCAGCCUUGGUUUAAAAGGUUUUUAAACCUUUAAAACACAUAAGCAAGGCAAAUGAGAAGUUUGGAAGUUCAGUUUGCACUUCCAUAGAAAAUGUCAAAGUUCUUUACAUUAUUUGCUCAACUUUGGGACAAGGCACAGAAAUGUUGGUAUUGGCUGCAGAAAGGGAAAGUUUUAAAAUAAAAAUCAAUUCAGAAUCCACUUCUGGGCAAAAUGGUACCUCCUGACUCUUUAACUGGUAAAGUGCUACAAACCUCAACUAUUAGGAAUCAAUUAUUAAUUUUAUAUGAUGAAUGUAAAAGAGUAAAUAAAGCAUCACCUGC